RNAcentral lists this ribosomal RNA (774 nucleotides) under Triticum aestivum (bread wheat). RNAcentral's name for it is "partial small subunit ribosomal RNA". The record is from RNAcentral. Lineage: Eukaryota; Viridiplantae; Streptophyta; Magnoliopsida; Poales; Poaceae.
AUGGGCUGCUAUGAUGCCACCAAGGGCAAGUCUGAAGGCAAUCUUAAUCCAGCACAGCUGGAAGCUUUUGAGAAGAUCGAUAUUCUCUUUAAAGGCUCUCUUCUGAGUGUUCUUGAUGACUCCAUUGUGGAUUCGUAUAUGUCGUUUGACAACGGCAAGGACAUGUGGGCUGCGCUCGAGGCCAAGUUUGGUGCCUCGGACGCCGGCAGCGAGUUGUACGUCAUGGAGCAAUUCUAUGACUACAAGAUGAAUGAUGAGUGCUCUGUUGUACAGCAGGCUCAUGAGAUACAGUCGCUCGCAAAAGAACUUGAGUACUUCAAGUGUGUGUUGCCAGACAAAUUUGUUGCCGGAGGUAUCAUUGCCAAGCUUCCACCUUCUUGGAACAAUUUUGCUACUUCCCUGAAACACAAGAGACAGGAGUUUUUCGUUGCAGAUCUCAUUGGUACUCUUGAUGUUGAAGAGAAGGCGAGAGCAAAGGACACACGUGCUCGAGUUGCUGAGGGAGCUUCUAGCGCCCACAUGGUACAGAAGAAGAACUUCCAGCCCAACAAGUUCAAAACAACAAGAACAAAACUUAGGGCAAAGGCAAGUUUGAUACAAAGAACAAGCCGUCACAUUCUACCAACUUCAAGAAGAAUUCUCAUAAGAAAGGGAAGGGACUUUUUCAUGUCUGCGGUGAUCCUAAUCACUGGGCUCCAAAAUGUCCUAAUCGCUUUGAGGAGCGCAAACAUGAGAAGAGCGGUGAUACGUCUCCGUCGUAUCUAUAAUUUUUGA